UACGGGGGGAGCAAGCGUUGUUCGGAUUUACUGGGCGUAAAGGGCGCGUAGGCGGUAGCACAAGUCAGUUGUGAAAUCUCCGGGCUUAACUCGGAAAGGUCAACUGAUACUGUGCGACUAGAGUGCAGAAGGGGCAACUGGAAUUCUCGGUGUAGCGGUGAAAUGCGUAGAUAUCGAGAGGAACACCGGUGGCGAAGGCGGCGAUCUGGGUCGAUACUGACGCUGAGGUGCGAAAGCGUGGGGAGCAAACAGG
RNAcentral lists this ribosomal RNA (253 nucleotides) under uncultured bacterium. RNAcentral's name for it is "partial 16S ribosomal RNA". It matches the Rfam family "Bacterial small subunit ribosomal RNA", at positions 524 to 776 of the family's 1533-position model. The record is from RNAcentral.